This 250-nucleotide long non-coding RNA is filed under the name Gossypium barbadense (sea-island cotton). Its description in RNAcentral is "long non-coding RNA (GBAR_LNC001643)". Lineage: Eukaryota; Viridiplantae; Streptophyta; Magnoliopsida; Malvales; Malvaceae. The record is from RNAcentral.
CAUUUUACAUGAAGUGGCCAGCCAUCAUGUUGUUGUAGACAAUAUGAGCACUUGAUAUCCAUAAUUCAUGGUACAAAUUGAUAAUGGGUUAGAUAAAUGUUCCAUGAUAAUGGAUUAGGUAAAUAUUCCAUGAUAAUAGGUUAGGUAAAUGUUCCAUGAUGGGCAUUUCAUGUCUUUUGUAUUAAAGAAUUAAAUGGAUGAAAUAUGAAAUUUUAUUAAAAGAAAAAGGGGUGAAAAGAACAAAGUUUUG